Molecule: long non-coding RNA, 1257 nt
Filed under: Falco tinnunculus (common kestrel)
Lineage: Eukaryota; Metazoa; Chordata; Aves; Falconiformes; Falconidae
Description: lncRNA (ENSFTIG00000007495.1)
Source: RNAcentral
CUGGGCUGUGCCUGAGUAAUCGCAUCAUGUGAACUGCUGGGUGGCUGAAAUCAGCCCGCAAACCUCGUCAGAACAAAAGUGGGUUAAAUCCAUAAAUUCCAGCUGUAACGCUCAGAGUUUGGGAUCCUCAGCCUGGGAACCUGGCAGCCCGGCAUGGAUUUGGGGCUGCCUUGUCCCCGGUACUGUGCCUGGUGGGGAGCAGCGAGCCGCGGGCAGCAAGCCCAGCUUUCCCUCCUCUCUCGGAGGAUGCUCGGCUGAGCAACCCCUCCUGUGUCCCUUCCAGGCAGCGUGAGGAACAGGAAAGCCAGCCACUUCCCCUGGCCGACCCUGGUAGCCAUCCUGCUCCUCUCCUGCAGUAUCCUGGUAGCUUUAGGCGUCAGGAAAUGGUGUCAGUACCAGAAAGAGAUUAUGAGCAGACCUCCAUCUUUCAAGCCACCACCCCCUCCGAUAAAAUACACCUCCAUGGCGGAGUCCGACGGGACUCCCCCAUCCUGCCACGAACUGGAAAACCUCUAACACCACCUGCACCCCUUGUGCAGCGCGCAGAAGGCUGACACAGUUAAAAGGCUCUGUCUUUAAAGCAGUCAUUAUAGGAGUUUGGUGUUAAUGACCCACAUUAAAAUUCAGAGCGCCUAAAUGACAUUAACGCUGGAAGCUGAGCACUCCUGAGGACACUUACUUCAUCCCGUCUCUCUCUAUGUAUGCAUUACGUUAACACCGGUUUGAGUGUCACCGUGAGAUUCCACGUGCUUAAUUUGAAUUGGGUGAUCAGCUGGGAAUUUGCUGUCUUGUUAAUGGGAGCAGAUUAAUGCAUCACUUCGCCAGCCUGCCUGAAGAGUGUCGAAGCUUUUUUGUUUUACUGAGCAUAUAGAGAUGACAGCUCUGCCAUACGGACAUCACAAUUACAUGGGAAACGUUGGCUUAACACAAGCUUUUUGAUACCUACGUGAGCCAUUCUCACAAUUAUUAUUUUUACUAUACAAGUAUUGACUAAUGUGGCCCAAUAUAUAAUAUCCUAUCACGGUGAAACCAACCAAAAAAAAAAAAUCAGCACCUUACAAGGAAAGAAAAUAGUCUGCAUCCCUCCUCAUGGGGUUGCAGCACAGGAUCGCAGGGAGGGGCUGGUGUGAUGGAAGGGCCAGCACAGCCCUGGUGAACGCAUUCAUGAAGAAGAAUCGGUUGCUGUUGGUGGCCUCAAAAGUCACCUUUGGGCUCAGGUACAAGCCACCCGUGGGCUGGAGAGUUAAGGACUGAAGU